RNAcentral lists this ribosomal RNA (265 nucleotides) under uncultured bacterium. Its description in RNAcentral is "partial 16S ribosomal RNA". It matches the Rfam family "Bacterial small subunit ribosomal RNA", at positions 29 to 291 of the family's 1533-position model. The record is from RNAcentral.
AAUGAACGUUGGCGGCGUGGAUUAGGCAUGCAAGUCGAACGAGAAGCCUCCUUCGGGAGGUGGACAGUGGCAAACGGGGUAGUAAGGCGUAGGUAACGUACCCUGGGGACCAGGAUAGCUACGGGAAACUGUAGGUAAUACUGGAUGAUCUCUUUUCGCACGAUCGCGGGAGGAGCAAAGGUGAGAUUCCACCCUGGGAGCGGCUUGCGUAGUAUUAGCUAGUUGGUGAGGUAACGGCUCACCAAGGCAUCGAUGCUUAGGGGGU